UGCCAACCACUGCACAGCUCGCUGGAGUAAGUUCAGAGAGAACUGCACACAUUCAAAGAGCUCUGGGACUUCUUUCUCUUAGCAAUUAGAGCUUUUGAACAAAGAAAACUUCUGCUUAGAUGCAAUGAUGAAUUUAAUACCCCUGCCCACACUCCUCAGCUGAAUCUGGGGACAUUGUGAGCAGCUCCUAGUUACCUUUCCUAGAUUAUAGAGAAUAUUCCUGAACACCUGCAGGCUUCAAGAUGCAGUAAAAAUAAAGAUGACUCUAAUACAAUGGUAUGGAACUUAAUUUUCUUCAAAUAGUCCUUAGAACACUUAUUUUAAUA
This 326-nucleotide long non-coding RNA is filed under the name Taeniopygia guttata (zebra finch). Its description in RNAcentral is "lncRNA (ENSTGUG00000021557.1)". The record is from RNAcentral. Lineage: Eukaryota; Metazoa; Chordata; Aves; Passeriformes; Estrildidae.